Molecule: ribosomal RNA, 301 nt
Filed under: uncultured bacterium
Lineage: Bacteria
Description: partial 16S ribosomal RNA
Rfam family: Bacterial small subunit ribosomal RNA
Source: RNAcentral
CAGCAGCCACGGUAAUACGUAGGUGGCAAGCGUUGUCCGGAAUUAUUGGGCGUAAAGCGCGCGCAGGUGGUUUAAUAAGUCUGAUGUGAAAGCCCACGGCUCAACCGUGGAGGGUCAUUGGAAACUGUUAAACUUGAGUGCAGGAGAGAAAAGUGGAAUUCCUAGUGUAGCGGUGAAAUGCGUAGAGAUUAGGAGGAACACCAGUGGCGAAGGCGGCUUUUUGGCCUGUAACUGACACUGAGGCGCGAAAGCGUGGGGAGCAAACAGGAUUAGAUACCCCAGUAGUCCCUGUCUCUUAUAC